This 460-nucleotide ribosomal RNA is filed under the name uncultured bacterium. Its description in RNAcentral is "bacterial SSU rRNA". It matches the Rfam family "Bacterial small subunit ribosomal RNA", at positions 90 to 518 of the family's 1533-position model. The record is from RNAcentral.
UCCUAGUGGCGAACGGGUGAGUAACGCGUAAGGCAACCUGCCCUCCGGACCGGGGGACAAACACGUCCGAAAAGGGGUGCUAAUACCGGAUACGAAGUCUGUGCCGCAUGGUACGGAUUUGAAAGAUGGCCUCUAUUUAUAAGCUAGUCGCCGGGGGAUGGGCCUGCGUCCGAUUAGCUGGUUGGUGGGGUAACGGCCUACCAAGGCGACGAUCGGUAGCCGGUCUGAGAGGAUGAACGGCCACAUUGGGACUGAGACACGGCCCAGACUCCUACGGGAGGCAGCAGUGGGGAAUCUUCCGCAAUGGGCGCAAGCCUGACGGAGCAACGCCGCGUUGAGUGAGGAAGUUCUUCGGAACGUAAAGCUCUGUUGUUCCUGACGAACCUCCCUUCUAUCAACAACGGAAGGGACUGACGGUAGGGAACGAGGAAGCCACGGCUAACUACGUGCCAGCCGCCGC